This is a long non-coding RNA of Mauremys mutica (yellowpond turtle), 2801 nucleotides long. RefSeq lists it as uncharacterized. The record is from RefSeq and is a predicted model, not a curated record. The transcript has 3 exons. Lineage: Eukaryota; Metazoa; Chordata; Testudines; Geoemydidae.
UCGCCCUACUGUAGAGGAAUCUCCUGGUGAUGUAAAGGCAGCAUAGGUUGCUCUGUACCACCCUUGCUUUCCUUUCUGCAUAGGAGCCAAGUGGCAAUCCUGGGCUGUGGAAUGGCCCAUAGGGUUGCUGUGCCUUCUCUAACUUGUACUGGGGGUUAGUUUGGCUGCAGCUGUGUUCCAGGAUUGGGGAGGCCCCCUUCCCUCCAAUCCAACGGCAGGAUAUGUUCAGCCUUGUGUUCUCGAUCCAGCUGCCGAGAAGUGGUGGAAAUCAGACCUGCCAAGAGAGAAAUAAUCUUUGAGUUCCAAGCCUCAUAGGAGGGGAUGGCACAAAUUGCUCUUCCAACUCGCCAGCCAGAGCCAGAGUUUCCAAUGCCGACAUUACCCCUUAAGUAAAUGAAUGGAAAAAAGCAAGAGGACUGUGGGAAGAGAACGUUUCCUGGCUUCAAACUAGCAAACUUCCCAUUCUUGUCGUCUCCUCCUCCGAAUAAUCUUCAGGCUGGUCCUGAAGAUCACUCGCAAACUAACUCAGGUCCUGUACCGGCUUUAAAGUUCUUUUCCAACUGGAAGAAAAGUUUGCAAGGCCAGGAAUGCACAAGCCCUGUGCUUGCAGCCUGUCCGAGCCCAUGUGCUGAGCAAUGGGAACAGAUCAUUUCUGCCUGCAGCAACAGAAUGCCUCCUGCUCAUUGUCAGAAUAAGGAAAAAGAAAGCCAGGCAUGUUGGAACAGGAGCAGCAAUCAACAGCGCACGGGUAUCAGGCAACAGAAAACAACAGCUUCUGCUGGCAGAGCUGGGGAUAGGGGUCUGACCUCACGCCCAACUCGGGCAAGAGCAGAACCCAAAGAGUUAAAACAGGGAGCUCCAAGGUCAAGGGCACCUGAACUUUUCACCACAAGGUCCUGAAAAGGGAGGAGGUAGUUUGCUUGAAAUCCCCUCUCUCUUAUAUUGUCCCCUUCCUUCUUUCAUUUCUCCCCCUCUCAUGUGCUUUCUUACCUCCCUCACCCUCUUCCUUUUUUUCUGUUCUCCCAUUUCACCUCCUCAUUAGAUCCCUCUCCCUCUUUCUUUCUUUUGGCACAAAUUGUUAAUGGUGAGGGCAAUUAACCACUGAAACGAACUAUCAAGGGCAAGGGUGGAUUCUCCAUCUCAUGUCAUCUUCAGAUCCAGAGUAGAUGCCUUUCGGGAAGAUAUGUUUUAGCCACACACAAGUUAUUGGGCUCAUUAAAGGGACAACUGGGUGAACGUUAAUGGCCUGUGACAUACAGGAGGUCUGACGAGAUGAUCUAACAGUCCCCUCUUUCCUUAUAUCUCUCUGUGACAGAAUGUUCUCCCCACACUAGACUACAGAGGGUUAAUGUGGCCCAGGUGGGAUUAAGUAAUCCAAUAGGCCACAUCUGAGGGAGAAUGAGCCCUGAUGAGCGAGCCCUGAUUAAGGAUACAGGUGGGGCUCGUAUAAAGCAAGGAAGUUUACAGCAGAAAGGGGCUGCAGUGGGGAAGCCUGCAGUUGUUCUCCAGACUUAGAGAGGGAAAGGAGGAGACCCGGGGUAGAGAGGAAGUCCGGGGAUCCUGGCCCUGAAGGACGAGUUUACCUAGAAGGGUGGUGGAGCAGAAGCCUGAUAGGGCUGGAGUAGGGAAAGGCUCAGGGAAAGGGCAGCAAUGUUUGGGAUGGUGCAGACGUUAGCUGGUGAUUAGAGGGUCCCUGAGCAGGAACCUGGAUUAGCGGGCAGGCCUAGGUUCCCCUGCCAGCCCCUGAGGAAGUGGCACAGCCUGGGCAGUGAAUGGGAAGGCUGCCUGAGACAGUUCAUAUGGAAAUAAUAUGAUAUUCCAGAUGGGGGAAAACACAUUUUCCCCCGGGUGAGUAAGGGCUGUGCAACUGGUCCUUAGAAAGUUACAGCUGGGAUGACAUUAGCCCAGUAGUAACAUGGGGACAUUGGAAGUAACCAGGGGUCCAUACAUUCCAGCAUCCUCUCUCUGACAGCGGCCCGCACCACCUGCAUGAGGGGAAGCUUCAAGAACCACCCCUCAGUAGACAAUUCUGGACAAAGCUAGCCAGCAGGUGUAAGGGACUAGGGUGCAGGCAGUCUGGCCUAGCAGUCACAGCUAGGCUGAGGUCUUCAGGAAUCAGGGCCAGAGUCAGGCUGGAGAUGAAAGGCAGUACCGGGCUAGAAUCAAGAGGCAGGAAUCAGGGGUCAAAGUCAGGAUGGAGGCAGAGACCAGAUGAAGUCUGACAUUGCAGCAGGCCACCAUCUGUGUGGUUGCCCAGACAACUUCCUGGGGUUAAGUAGGUGCAGUUGGCCAAUCAGAAAGCCUCAUGAUACUGUCACUCUGGAUUUCUUGGGUGGUACUUCCUGUGGCAUCUAUCCUCCACCCUGUUCCCUGGCUAUACUUCUGCAUGGCUGCCCAGUGGCACUGUGGGAAUAUCAACUCUCUAGGCUCUGCAGACCUGGGUUCUAGUUGCUAGUCCCUUAUACAGGGGACACUUCUUCCUAACCCAUUAAUGGUUGGCUUGUUCCCUAAAGCAUGAGAAUGUCUAUCCAAUGUAAAAUGAUUCCAUCUAAUGUGACAGUGGAUGUGCUUGUUCUCCAUAUAAAUAUCCAGCCCUUUUUUUGAAUCAUGCUUAGCUCUUAGCCUCAGAGAAAGUGAGUUCCACAAGCCUCAAGUACUGUUCCUUUAAGAAUACAAAGUGAGAUUAUGAUUGCACUGGAUUUCAGCAUUUUGAGUGAAGUCAGCAGUGAAUGCUUUCCAUGAUGAGAAUGGUUUCCCUGGUAUCAGGGUCACCCCUGACACCAUCAGAUCUGCCCUGCAUA